GCGCGAGUGGUGGAAUGGCAGACACGCUGGUCUUAGGAACCAGUGUCUUCGGACGUGCGGGUUCGAGUCCCGCCUCGCGCACCG
Molecule: transfer RNA, 84 nt
Filed under: Krasilnikoviella flava
Lineage: Bacteria; Bacillati; Actinomycetota; Actinomycetes; Micrococcales; Promicromonosporaceae
Description: tRNA_Leu_TAG
Rfam family: tRNA
About the family: Transfer RNA (tRNA) molecules are approximately 80 nucleotides in length.
Source: RNAcentral